RNAcentral lists this non-coding RNA (108 nucleotides) under Carlito syrichta (Philippine tarsier). Lineage: Eukaryota; Metazoa; Chordata; Mammalia; Primates; Tarsiidae. The record is from RNAcentral.
GACUGACCUGAAGGUAGUGAGUUAUCUCAAAUGACUGUUCAAUCAGUUACAGAUCAAACUCCUUGUUCUACCUUUCCCCCCCAUCUCAUUGCACUCACCUAGACUUAA